This 1366-nucleotide ribosomal RNA is filed under the name uncultured prokaryote. RNAcentral describes it as "partial 16S ribosomal RNA". It matches the Rfam family "Bacterial small subunit ribosomal RNA", at positions 92 to 1441 of the family's 1533-position model. The record is from RNAcentral.
UUAGUGGCGGAAGGGUUAGUAAUACAUGGGUAACUUGCCUUUACCUUUGGAAUAACAAUUGGAAACGAUCGCUAAUACAUUCUGUGGAGCGGGCAGGCAUCCGGUUUUCAUUAAAGUGGGGGAUCUAAAGACCUUGCGGUUAAAGAGAGGUCCAUGGGAUAUCAGCUUGUUGGUGUGGUAACGGCGCACCAAGGCUAAGACGUCUAGGCGAGUUGAGAGAUUGACCGCCAACACUGGGACUGAGAACUGCCCAGACUCCUACGGGAGGCUGCAGUCGAGAAUCUUUCGCAAUGGGCGAAAGCCUGACGAAGCGACGCCGUGUGGACGAUGAAGGCCUUCGGGUUGUAAAGUUCUUUCGCCUGGGAACAAGAGAAGCUAAUUAAUACUUAGCUAAUUUGAGGGUACCAGGUAAAGAAGCACCGGCUAACUCCGUGCCAGCAGCUGCGGUAAUACGGAGGGUGCAAGCAUUAGUCGGAAUUAUUGGGCGUAAAGAGCGCGUAGGCGGAAAUGUCAGUCAGAUGUGAAAUCCCGCAGCUCAACUGCGGAACUGCAUUUGAAACUGCAUUCCUUGAGGGUAGGCGGAGAAGACGGAAUUCCACAUGUAGCGGUGAAAUGCGUAGAUAUGUGGAAGAACACCCGUGGCGAAGGCGGUCUUCUAGCUUACACCUGACGCUGAGGCGCGAAAGCGUGGGGAGCAAACAGGAUUAGAUACCCUGGUAGUCCACGCCGUAAACGAUGCAUACUUGGUGUAGCCGGACUCAACCCCGGCUGUGCCGGAGCUAACGUGUUAAGUAUGCCGCCUGGGGAGUACGCGCGCAAGCGUGAAACUCAAAAGAAUUGACGGGGACCCGCACAAGCAGUGGAGCAUGUGGUUUAAUUCGAUGCAACGCGAAGAACCUUACCCAGGCUUGACAUGCAGAGGACAUUAACAGAAAUGUUACCCCCCUUCGGGGCUUCUGCACAGGUGCUGCAUGGCUGUCGUCAGCUCGUGCCGUGAGGUGUUGGGUUAAGUCCCGCAACGAGCGCAACCCUUAUCACUAGUUGCCAACACUUAGGGUGGGAACUCUAGUGAGACUGCCUGGGUUAACCAGGAGGAGGGUGAGGAUGACGUCAUGUCCGCAUGGCCCUUAUGUGUGGGGCUACACACGUGCUACAUGGUCACGUACAGUAGGCAGCGAACCGUGAGGUGAAGCACGUCGCCUAAAGCCGGCCCCAGUUCAGAUUGUAGUCUGCAACUCGACUACAUGAAGUUGGAAUUGCUAGUAAUGGGAGUCAGCAACAUCGCCGUGAAUACGUUCCCGGGUCUUGUACACACCGCCCGUCACAUCAUGGGAGUUGGUUUUACCCGAAUCCGCUGACUCAACCG